UACGGGGGGAGCAAGCGUUGUUCGGAUUUACUGGGCGUAAAGGGCGCGUAGGCGGCCACCGCAAGUCACUUGUGAAAUCUCCGGGCUUAACCCGGAAAGGUCAACUGAUACUGCGGGGCUAGAGUGCAGAAGGGGCAACUGGAAUUCUCGGUGUAGCGGUGAAAUGCGUAGAUAUCGAGAGGAACGCCUGCGGCGAAGGCGGGUUGCUGGGCUGACACUGACGCUGAGGCGCGAAAGCCAGGGGAGCGAACGGG
Molecule: ribosomal RNA, 254 nt
Filed under: uncultured bacterium
Lineage: Bacteria
Description: partial 16S ribosomal RNA
Rfam family: Bacterial small subunit ribosomal RNA
Source: RNAcentral